UACGUAGGGACCAAGCGUUGUUCGGAUUCACUGGGCGUAAAGGGUGCGUAGGCGGUCGGGUAAGUCUGAUGUGAAAUCUCACAGCUUAACUGUGAAACUGCAUUGGAUACUAUCCGGCUAGAGGAAUGGAGGGGAGACUGGAAUACUUGGUGUAGCAGUGAAAUGCGUAGAUAUCAAGUGGAACACCAGUGGCGAAGGCGAGUCUCUGGACAUUUCCUGACGCUGAGGCACGAAAGCCAGGGGAGCAAACGGG
This 253-nucleotide ribosomal RNA is filed under the name uncultured bacterium. RNAcentral describes it as "partial 16S ribosomal RNA". It matches the Rfam family "Bacterial small subunit ribosomal RNA", at positions 524 to 776 of the family's 1533-position model. The record is from RNAcentral.